AGAGUUUGAUCCUGGCUCAGGACGAACGCUGGCGGCGUGCCUAAUACAUGCAAGUAGAACGCUGAAGUCUGGUGCUUGCACUAGACGGAUGAGUUGCGAACGGGUGAGUAACGCGUAGGUAACCUGCCUCAUAGCGGGGGAUAACUAUUGGAAACGAUAGCUAAUACCGCAUAACAGUAUUUACCGCAUGGUAGAUGCUUGAAAGGAGCAAUUGCUUCACUAUGAGAUGGACCUGCGUUGUAUUAGCUAGUUGGUGAGGUAACGGCUCACCAAGGCUUCGAUACAUAGCCGACCUGAGAGGGUGAUCGGCCACACUGGGACUGAGACACGGCCCAGACUCCUACGGGAGGCAGCAGUAGGGAAUCUUCGGCAAUGGGGGCAACCCUGACCGAGCAACGCCGCGUGAGUGAAGAAGGUUUUCGGAUCGUAAAGCUCUGUUGUAAGAGAAGAAUUGUGAGAAGAGUGGAAAGUUUCUCAUUUGACGGUAUCUUACCAGAAAGGGACGGCUAACUACGUGCCAGCAGCCGCGGUAAUACGUAGGUCCCGAGCGUUGUCCGGAUUUAUUGGGCGUAAAGCGAGCGCAGGCGGUUUGAUAAGUCUGAAGUAAAAGGCUGUGGCUUAACCAUAGUACGCUUUGGAAACUGUCAAACUUGAGUGCAGAAGGGGAGAGUGGAAUUCCAUGUGUAGCGGUGAAAUGCGUAGAUAUAUGGAGGAACACCGGUGGCGAAAGCGGCUCUCUGGUCUGUAACUGACGCUGAGGCUCGAAAGCGUGGGGAGCGAACAGGAUUAGAUACCCUGGUAGUCCACGCCGUAAACGAUGAGUGCUAGGUGUUGGGUCCUUUCCGGGACUCAGUGCCGUAGCUAACGCAUUAAGCACUCCGCCUGGGGAGUACGACCGCAAGGUUGAAACUCAAAGGAAUUGACGGGGGCCCGCACAAGCGGUGGAGCAUGUGGUUUAAUUCGAAGCAACGCGAAGAACCUUACCAGGUCUUGACAUCCC
Molecule: ribosomal RNA, 1000 nt
Filed under: Streptococcus suis
Lineage: Bacteria; Bacillati; Bacillota; Bacilli; Lactobacillales; Streptococcaceae
Description: bacterial SSU rRNA
Rfam family: Bacterial small subunit ribosomal RNA
Source: RNAcentral